CACUGUUAUAACACGUUACAGUCCAGGGUAUCAUGUAGGAAAAGAAACGAAUAAAAGUUAACAUCUGCAAGCCAUACACAACGCAGCUCAAACAACAAAAGUAUGAAUUUGAAAGUGGACAAUCCUGAAUUGAAGAAUGGCAGCCUAGCCCAAAGAGCAGAGGCUUUGGAGUAGAGAUCCCAGGAAUUAAAGAUUUCACCACGAUCUGCCCAUGGGAAGCAUACAGCCAUCUUGACCUACAGGAACUGGCUCAAUAUGGUAUAGUCUCUUCAUUGAGAAUUUAUUUCUUCUAUAUUUACCCAUCUAGA
Notothenia coriiceps (black rockcod) is the source of this 308-nucleotide long non-coding RNA. RefSeq lists it as uncharacterized. The record is from RefSeq and is a predicted model, not a curated record. The transcript is spliced from 4 exons. NCBI's taxonomy places the organism in Eukaryota, Metazoa, Chordata, Actinopteri, Perciformes, Nototheniidae.